UGCAGUGUUGUGUGGAUCCCCAGU
RNAcentral lists this non-coding RNA (24 nucleotides) under Mus musculus (house mouse). Lineage: Eukaryota; Metazoa; Chordata; Mammalia; Rodentia; Muridae. The record is from RNAcentral.